This 383-nucleotide ribosomal RNA is filed under the name uncultured bacterium. RNAcentral's name for it is "bacterial SSU rRNA". It matches the Rfam family "Bacterial small subunit ribosomal RNA", at positions 421 to 796 of the family's 1533-position model. The record is from RNAcentral.
GGUUGUAAACCGCUUUUGUCAGGGAAGAAACGGGCGUUUCUAAUAAAGAUGCCUAAUGACGGUACCUGAAGAAUAAGCACCGGCUAACUACGUGCCAGCAGCCGCGGUAAUACGUAGGGUGCAAGCGUUAAUCGGAAUUACUGGGCGUAAAGCGUGCGCAGGCGGUUAUGCAAGACAGAUGUGAAAUCCCCGGGCUCAACCUGGGAACUGCAUUUGUGACUGCAUGGCUAGAGUACGGUAGAGGGGGAUGGAAUUCCGCGUGUAGCAGUGAAAUGCGUAGAUAUGCGGAGGAACACCGAUGGCGAAGGCAAUCCCCUGGACCUGUACUGACGCUCAUGCACGAAAGCGUGGGGAGCAAACAGGAUUAGAUACCCUGGUAGUCC